Molecule: long non-coding RNA, 705 nt
Organism: Bos taurus (domestic cattle)
Lineage: Eukaryota; Metazoa; Chordata; Mammalia; Artiodactyla; Bovidae
Source: Ensembl
GUCAAGGCCCCCUCAUUUUUCCUGAAGUGUCCCUUUGUUCUGACUGGCCCUCUGCUUUUCAGAAGUCUUAAUGUUGCUAAAUCUGAAUCAGAUACAUGAGUUCCUUCUUCCUCUUACAGAUUGUAAUAGUUUGCAUUAACAGAUUGUAAUUGCCUGCUUCCCUGGUGUCUCAGAUGAUUAAGAGUCUGCCUGAAAUGCAGGAGACCCGGUUUGUUCUCUGGGUUGGGAAUAUCCCCUGGAGAAGGGAAUGGGUACCCACUCCAGUAUUCUUGCCUAGAGAAUUCCAUGGACAGAAGAGUCUGGUGGGCUACAGUCCAUGCAAUCACAAAGAGUGGGACCCAACUGAUUGCUCAGUUGUGUUGGACUCUUGGACCCCAUGGACUGUAGCACACCAGGCUUCCCUGUCCUUCACCAUCUCCUGGAGCUUGCUCAAAUUCAUGUCCAUCGAGUCCACCCAUUUCAUCCUUUGUCGUCCCCUUCUCCUGCCUUCAAUCUUUACCAGCAUCAGGACCUUUUCUAAUGAGUCGGCUGUCUGCAUCAGGUGGCCAAAGUAUUGGAGCUUCAACUUCAGCAUCAGUCCUUCCAGUGAUUCAGGAUUGAUUUCCUUUAGGACGGACUAGUUUGAUAUCCUUGCAAGUGACUCUCAAGAGUCUUCUUCAACACCACAAUUCAAAGGCAUUGAUUCUUCGGUGCUCAGCAUUCUUG